Sciurus carolinensis (gray squirrel) is the source of this 8474-nucleotide RNA transcript. It is a transcript of the gene named protein CutA homolog, with no coding region annotated. The transcript is spliced from 7 exons. The record is from RefSeq and is a predicted model, not a curated record. Lineage: Eukaryota; Metazoa; Chordata; Mammalia; Rodentia; Sciuridae.
UCAGUGAUCGAGGGCCUCGAUGUGACGUCACGAAGAACUGUGCUCAGUUACACCUCCUGCUUUCCUACCCGCUUGGUGAGCAGGCGGAGUGGAACCCUCGCAGGAUGCCCAGCAAGCUGAGCGGAGAGGAUGAGGCGCGGUCUGCAGUCAAACGGCCUGGGAGAUGGCUUCGCCGGUUCGGGCCUUCGGCAGCGGGAAGAGCGCCUAUGUGGAGCCGCCCGGGUUUGGGCCCUGGGGGAAUUAAAUCCUGGACCCCACGCAAGUCCGGAGGAGACUGAAGGCCCUGCCUCUGGAGGGCACGAUGAGAAUUCUCGAGAAGCUGGACGAAGGCGUGAGUAGUAGGAACGUGGGGCGCCUUUUUGGUAUCGAUGAGUGAACAGUACUCGUGAUGGAGAAGGAGAGGGCCAUUUGGGCCGGCCUGGAAAGUGUUUUGCCUGUCUGCUCCAAGAUUCCCGUGAGGUAGACUCCAAGAAGAUGGAGACCUCGUUAACCUGUUGAGUGAAGGGGCAGAGUGUGGAAGGCGGCCUCGGACUGCAAAGGCCGUCUGCACCCAGGCUGGACGCAUCUGUGUGGCAUGUGGUGGUCAGGGCAGUUCAGACACGUUUCCUGCCAGCAAGGAAUGGUCUGAGAAGUUUAAAAAUAAGUACCGUCUGCGAAAUGCAAAGUCGAUGGGGAAGGAAGAACCAUUAAAUGCUGAGUUGGCACCCAAGUAUUCCAAGCGAUUGGAGAGACCGAUCAGAGAUAAAAGCUAUGUGCCUCAACAGGUCCUGAGCCUAGUUUGGAAAUGCAUGCCUUCCCAUACUUUUAAGGAAAUAGAUAAUAAUCUGAAAGCUUAGAGGAAACAAGGACAGGAUUUCCUUCAUUAUUUGUGUCAGUGUCUCAGGUGACAAAAUGAUGAACCUAUUACUGCUUUACAAAGACCCUAAUCCCACUUUUCUUUUGGAAAAAAGAUUUUUUACAGUGCCUUAUGUUUUUGUGUCUUGGUUUUUAUAAUUAGAUUACCCAUGAAAACUAAGAUCCUGGCAGCUUCUUUUCUGGUGUACCCCAUGCUCAGGACCCUUAGCCUACAGCUUCACUCAGCCAUCACCGGCAGCUAUAUCUCUGGCACUCACUCCAUCGUCUUUGUCAACUGUCCCAAUGAGCAAAUUGCCAGAGACAUUGCCAGGACCAUACUGGCUAAGAAAUUGGCUGCCUCCGUGAACAUCUUGCCCAAGACAUCAUCACUGUUCUUUUGGAAGGGAGAAAUAGAAGAAGCCACUGAGAUCUUGUUGUUAAUAAAGACAAAGACUUCCAAGGUCCUCAAGCUGUCCAGCUUUAUCAGGUUGGUGCAUCCUUUUGAAAUCCCAGAGGUCUUCAGUCUUCCCAUGGACCAAGGAGAUGUGCACUAUUUAAAGUGGCUUGAGGAGGGCAUGGAGGAGGACUGAGUAGGGGAAGCUUCUUGUGCACGAUGCUGGCUGCCUCUAGCCCUCAGCAGCUGAACUCUGGGCCAACCGUCCUGCUGCGCCAAAGUAGUUGGUGAUAGAUGACUUGAGGUGUGACAAAGACGAGUCGUCCUCACUGAUGCUCUCAAAUGUGUGGCUGUCGAUGCCUUCAUCUGGCCGCUCGGGGCCCAAAGUCCCCUCCGCACUGCUGUCUGAGGGGCAGCGUCCACUCAGCUCAGCUGCCCGCCGCUUUGCCCGCAGGGGCAUGUAGGCUUUGGCCGCCAGCUUCCUCUUGCGGCUGCCUACUGUCCGUCUACACCAGGAGCGGGGAGAGGAAGAUGAGGGAAAUGAGGUGGGAAGACUGUAACAAAGCCCUCGCCCCCAGCAGUCUCCUGGGUACCAGGCACUGUGCCAGCCCCUGGGCAUGGAUCAUCUCACCUUGCAAGAACCCCAGAGGAGGGAAAGUGAAGCUCCAGGAGAGAAGCAGCCAGCUGGGGAGCGGCAGAGCCAGGUUCAAACCCCGGUCUGCCCAGCUCUAAAGCAUGGGCUCUGGGUGCAGACGCACGACUCCCUGAGCCUCCUGAGGCCACGCAGCAUGGAGGCCCUGGGUACCAUGCUUAUCCCUCACCUGUGCUCAUGUGGAGCUAGAAGAGCCAGACAGGGAUAGGGACAGGGGUCAUGGACUAAAGGACCUUGUACUACAUAGGCAGAUGUGUUAGAGAAGGGAUCCAAGACCAGAGUCACAUCCACAGAUGCUUAGAAAUGGAAGCCAAGACCCAAAGCACUAGUGAAAACCAAAGAAACAGGAAGAAACAAAUUAAAAUACAGGGCUGGGGCGCAGAUCAGCAGUAGAGCGCUUGCUGGCUUGUGUGAGGUCCUGGGGUCCAUUCCCAGAACCAAAAAUAAAUAAAUAAAAUACAGAGGCAACAUCAGAAAAAGACAUGUCAGAGACGUCUGCCGACUAAGACUUCAAGACACAUGUCUAUAAGUGUUGUGCUUUUAAUUCUACUCUUGCAAGGGCCUCAUGCGUCCUAGAGUAGAGGAGCCUGAGUCCAGAAGAAAUCCUGCUUUGCAGAGACCACUCUCCCUGUGCUGCUGACAACCAACUACUGCCAAGCAGGCUAGCCCCACAGCUGGGCCCCCAGAGAUUUCUGUCCCCCUCCCAAGCCCUGCAGUCCACAGGAUGCCAUCCUCCCUCCACCAGGCUUCCUAACAAAUGCUCUUCCCUUAGAGACCCUGGAACACAGACACCCAACUCAGACAGCCAGAAAACCAGGGUUAGGGACCCUGCAGUCUGAGAGGCACAGGCAUGCAAAAUCAUGGCGUGCAGAGACCAAGAACCCCAGUGGAAGAAUCUCUGGUCAGACGACCUCAGAAUUGGAACCAUCCAGCCAGAGAUGUCCCCGUGUUCUGCAGCAGGCGGAGAGCAUUCCAAAGAGAUGGGACCACAGCAACCUGGAUGCCUGUCCUUAUCUGCUUUAAUGCCAGGGACUCGAACUAGAGGUCCAGGGCCAGAUUCUCACGAUUGUAGAAGGCCAGGUCCUCCAGCCUGGGGCUCAGUAUGCAAAAUGAGCCCCACAACUGGGCCCCACAGAGGAGAAGUGGGAGGUGGAGGCCUGGGAGGGACUAUGGUUCUUGAGAAGCCUAAGGUCAGGGCUGACCCCUGGGGGCUCACCUGGAGUCAUAGGAGAGGCUGGUGGAGGCAGAGCCUGAGGUGCUGGCGGCGUCUGUGGAGUCCACGUCUGAGAAGAAGGUCUGGCCUGAGCUGGCACUGAGAGGGGGGCAAGGGUGAGCCUGCCAUUGGCCCAGCCCAGCAAAGUCCUGCCAACCUGCUCCCGGGGAGCCUUGGGACCUCUCCAGCUUUUCUCUGCCCCUCUCUAAGCAUUGUUCCUCCCAGUGGAGGCCCAUCUUUCCGUUGCUCAGCUUCCCACCAUCACACCUGCCUGUCCAUUUCCCAUCCAUCCGCCUUCAAUCCAGGAGGCAGGAGAGCCUUCCUUUACCACCUUACCCUCCACUAGGCUUUUAAAUAAAUGUGACAGAAGCACAGAUAAUACUUAAUGAGCCAUGAAGCACUUCUGCAACACUUUACAGGUCAAAGUGUUUGCAUUUUCAGUAUCUUAUUUGAGGAAAACAUAGGAGGUUCAGAGACGUUAAGAAAUUUAGCUAAUGCCACACAGCUAGUACUGGUAAGCAGAGUCUGGAGUUCAGAUUUGUCUGAUUCUCAAUCCCUCACUCCUUCCUCCAUGGUCUUAGGUAAACACUGAAUGACUUUUAGUGAUUUUGGAAAUCAAAUGACAAAAGAUGUAGUCCUUGCCCUUGAGUGUACCCAAGCACACACAGAAAGGUGUCCCACACAGCCUGGGAGGAUCUGUGCAGGCCUCUUGGAGGGAUCCAGGUCCUGGGUUUUCAGAUGGGAUAGGGUGGGCAGAGCAAAGGGCUAAAGACCCUUUAACUUGGGGUUUUAGGAGGACCCCAAGGGAGCACCCACUCCUCCCUCAGAACACUUCUGCCUUGCCCCCUUCCAGAGCCUCCUGCAUUGCUGUGGGAAUGGAGGGAGCCUCCACCCCUGCCUCCACCCCAGUUUCAAGCAGACCUUUCUGCUGGGCCCCUCACCAGUACCCUUUUUUUUUUUUUUAAAUAACUAUUUAUUUUUAUGUGGUGCUGAGGCUCGAACCCAGUGCUUCACACGUGCUAGGCAGGUGCUCUACCACUGAGCCACACCCCAGACCCACUGUUACCUUUUUAAACUCUGAAUUUCAUCCAGCGUGAAGUCAAAUAUGCUAGCCAGGUGGUGGUUGGUGCUCCAGGCUGAGGUGAAGUCACUCUGUGGACAGAGGAAGAAAAGAGGAAGGGUCAGUCAGCAGUGUCCAGUCUGCCCUCCCCAAGCACCUUUGCCCCAGCUGAGGGCCACACAGCCAGAGCUGCCGAGCGCUGCACCCUCCCUGGGUAAGGCCUGCCACUUCCUCUUCAUUCCAAGUCCUGACCAGAGAGCCAAGUUACCCUGAUUCUCAUCCUGGCUUUGUCUCCAGCCACUGGGUAACCUUGACCUCUCUGGGCCUUAGUUACCUCAACUGCAAAAUGGGGACAAGACACCCUGCCCUGCUUCCCUCUUAGAGGUGUCAGAGAGCCCAGAAAAUUAAGUACUGGCUACCAAAGGUAGUAAUUAAGUAAUGCCUUGUAGACUGUGAAGUGCUGGGGAGAUGAGGCAUGGUUGGUAUCACUGCCCCCAGGGAGGAGGGCCUCAGUGAGGAUGCUGGGGAAGAAGAGCAAGUGCCCUGGAGCCCUGGUUCCAGGCCGGGCUCAGCCACUGUUGUGCGCCUCGGGAAAGUCAUUGCCCAACCCUGUUCUCCUUUCCCCACCUGACAAAGGGGACAAGGAUUGGGAUCUUGGGAGAACUGGGAGGCAAGGGAGAGGUAUGGGAGCACCUGGCUUUUCCUUGUUUUGCUAGAUAGGAAAUGGGACAUGGGAGAGUCCCCUGGACCUGGGGGACUCCAUUUUCUGCAGAGGAAUCCCUAAUAUGUGCCGGUCCUGCAUGUGAAAGUGGAGGAUGAGAAAACAAGGAACUAACACUGGGAAUAGCAUCUUCCAGCAAAAACUUUGAUCUUUUUCUUCUAUAAACUCGCCUUUUCUGCUGCUGGAAUUCGUGAGGCAACAAACUGUGGAGACAAAAGGGAGAGGGUGGCUCAGUCAGAGCCUGAGGGCCAGAGGGGGCCCCAGAGGGAAGAGCCUCAGGAGCCCAGGGGCAGGGGCCAGUGGCUGGGGUAGGGACGGCUGCCUUCACCAGGAGUCUGGGGAGGAGGGCACGUGCUUUGGGGCAGGAGAUGUGGAAGGGCUGUCGGUGGAAAAAGAAAAGGUGCUUCUGGGCGGGUGUGUCCAGCUGCCCUGCCCCCGAUGCCCAGGAGGGGUCUCAGCUCAGCCUGGAGCCGGGGCGUUGUCCACACUCCAGCGUCCCCUUCUCUUCACCCAGCCUUGAGGCAGGCCUGGCUUUUCCUGGGCUGCGGAAGGAGCCUGGGAGCCACUGACUAGCCCUCUCAGGGCACCUAUGCUGGGACUAGCUGCAGGGGGUUUCUGGCUUAUGCAAAUGUCACCAUGCUCUUGGGUCCCACAUCAUAGCCAUCAUCCUGGGAGCUGGGAGCAGAGAAACCAACUGCAGCCCUAACCCCUGGGUCCCCCAGCACUGACCCAGGCUUGCUCUUUCCUCUUUUACGCAGCUCGGAGGAGCCAGAGGAGGUGCCGUUCUCGUUUGGCACCAGACCCUUGUCAGGUAGCAACUUGCCCGGUGGGUUGGGUGGGACGCGGAUGCGCAGGCGGAAGAUGCACUUCUUCUUCUUGAUCUCUUUGCCACAGAGGAACCUGGGCAUGGGCAGGGGAGAAGGCCGAGUAAGUCCAUCCUCCAGGGCAGUGUUGGUGGGCAUUAAAUGAGGUUGUCCGCCUCUCUGGACCCACAACUAAAAUCCAGAGUGGCCCCUAGGAACCAUGAGUGGGAUGAAGGGUCCCGGCUGAGGAUGUGGCUCCUCCCCAUCCCUCCUCCAGUAUGGUGGGGGGGUUCUUGCUGCUCUCCCUUUUCCCCUCUGCCUCAACCAGCUGCAAGACCACCUCCUACAGCAAGACCUCCUUCAGCUCACAGUGGGACUCUGGUCAGGACACUUAUUCCACCCCAUGCUGUCCUCUGAACUCUCACAGAAGCUGCAAGCACCCCCAGGCACUUCCUUCCAACACUGGCUGCAUGGCCCUGAGCUGCAGAGGCAGUUCACACCCAGGCCCAUUCUUGGGGACUGUUCACUGGGCAGUGGCCUUGUACUGAGGAGCAGGCUGUGUCUGGGCCCCAAUCCAUGUGAAUGUGAAGGUGGGUCAUUCUAGAGGCGUCUGGAAGCUUUUGUAGAAGCAGGGGUCUUGUCUUUCUCCCCCUGUGGUCUCGGCACCUACACAGGGCCGGACAGAGCAGCAGCUCAAUAAGUACUUGUUGAAGAGACAAAUGAAUAAAAGGGAUGAAAGAGCAUCCUGGGCUGAGGGAAGAGGAUGAGUGAAAGCCCUGGUCAGGGAGCAAGAGCUCAGUGGGGCUGGCUGGCACCAAGUCAAAAAGCAAAGGGACAGUGGUGGAAGAUGUGCAGGCAGGGCCUGAUCAAAAAAGGCCCUGAAUGCUGGGACAGGGAGCUGGGCAUCCCCUGUGUGGUGUGGCCAGCUGUGCAUGCUGAGAACUCAGAAUGGGAAGACACUGGUUGGGGACGGGCCAGGGGCUGAGGCACACCUGAAAGAUGCUGAGUUGCCUCAGUGCACGGCCCAGAGCCCCAGCUGGCUCAAGCAGGAGGGACCCUCAGAGAGCAGGGGGACACAACCCUAUGGAGUUGAGCCCAGUACCAAACUGAGUAAGGCUGCUGGGUGCUCGAGAAGCUUUGCAAAGGGAGGUCCCAGGAUCCUUUGUUCCCUGGAUCAUGAAGGAUGGGAAGGGGAUAGGCAAAGAAAAGGAUCCCUCCCACCUGCACAUACCGGCUUUUGUAACUGUUGAGAGCAUUGAGGAGAUGCGGUCCUCGAUCUGUCACGGGGGUGCUGGUGAGCUGGGGGAGCAGGCCAGCGAGACAGUCAGACUCAGGGGCCUGGCGUCUGAGGAGGCCCCACCCUGUCCCCCCAUCUCCUGAAACUCUUGAGUCCUCCAGGUGAGGACCAUUGAUCCACGAUAUCUCAGGCAAGCCUUUCCCCCACUCUCAGGGGAAAAUGGAGAGAAAAACUGCCGGCUUAACUCUAUUGAGAGCUUUCAAACGGUACAUACCUUUGACCCAACUUUGCUCUCCCAUGGGACCUAUGGUACCGAUAGGACAUGGGACUCAAACAGAACUUUACAUACAAAAAUGUUCAUGAUGGCAUGUGGACAGGAGGGAAAAAAGCUAUGUGCCCAACAGGAAGGAAACCAGUAAACAAUGGUAGAAACCAGUGCUGCCACUAAAAAUGCUACUGAAGAUUCUUCAAUACAUGGGAAAGCAACUGAAAAUAAAACAAACUGAAAAAAGGAAAAUUAAAAUGAUAUAUACAUAUUGUAUCAUCCAAAUCAUGUAAAAAGAAAAAAUAAGCAUAAAGAGAGGCUCAAAGGAAAUGCAUCAUUUCUAGUUAUCUCUGGGUCAUGUGAUGUGGGAAUGUGGAUUUUUUAAAAAAGUAUACUUCCUUAGGUUUCUUGGUAAUUUAAACAUUUUCUACCAGUAACAUGCAUGAUAUUUUUGUAAAUCAGAACAAAGUAACUAAAAAACAGUUGAAGGCUUUAUAAUAUGUAUAUCUUAUAAAUUAUCCAACACCAUAAAUGUAGAUGGUAUGUAAAAAUUUUUUUGCAGAGCAUAUAGGCUACUUAAGAAAAAAAUCCUUGUCCAAAGAAGAGUUUGGGGCAAUCAGUAAAGAAGAAGCCUCUCUUGCAUGUAGUAGCAAGGAUUCUGAGUGUCAUUAGGGACAAAGGGGCUCAUCCCCACUGUGGAAGUGGCUAGGAACGUCCUGGUCCCAGCUUUGGCUCAGCCUCAAGGCUGGCUGACCAGGGGCAGAUGGUGCUCCAGCCCUGACAUUCUCAAAGUCUGCAUUUGUUACUUCAACUCAUGGAUCAGAGGCGCCCGGGCCCCUGGUGACCCACUGUUCAGAACAGCAUCAGCAGGGGGCAGGCCUACUCUACUUUCCAUCCUAGCUAAGAAAUCUGGAGUGGGCCAGACACCUCAGCAGAGAACCCUGCUCCGGCCAGAUUUGAUCCAGGACUCCAGCUCCCAGGGGCUGAGUUGGUAAGUCCCCAUAUGCCCUCUGCCAAAAUCAGGGAGCAGAGGCCUGGACUCAGGCCACAAGGUGAGAGCUCACACACCUAGACCUCACUGCACAGCCCUGCAGAGACACCUGUCUCCUGCCACUCUGUCAGCCCCUGCCCUGCAUACCUUGCCAAGCUGCAGGAGCUCCCAGUGGUGGUUUACAAAGGCCAGAAUCUCCUCAAAGUCAAAGUACUUCUUCUUGCUCUGCACCCCAAGGUUGUAGAGGGCCAGGUGAACCACAUCCACCCUGAGCAAGAGGGCAAGGGGGUGGGGCCGGGUGAGG